GUGGGGAAUAUUGGACAAUGGGCGCAAGCCUGAUCCAGCAAUUCCGCGUGAGCGAAGAAGGCCUUCGGGUUGUAAAGCUCUUUCGGCGGGGACGAUAAUGACGGUACCCGCAGAAGAAGCCCCGGCUAACUCCGUGCCAGCAGCCGCGGUAAUACGGAGGGGGCUAGCGUUGUUCGGAAUCACUGGGCGUAAAGCGCACGUAGGCGGCUACUCCAGUCAGAGGUGAAAGCCCGGGGCUCAACUCCGGAAUUGCCUUUGAAACUAGGUAGCUUGAACGUCGGAGAGGUAAGUGGAAUUCCGAGUGUAGAGGUGAAAUUCGUAGAUAUUCGGAAGAACACCAGUGGCGAAGGCGACUUACUGGACGACUGUUGACGCUGAGGUGCGAAAGCGUGGGGAGCAAACAGGAUUAGAAACCCCUGUAGUCC
Molecule: ribosomal RNA, 425 nt
Filed under: uncultured bacterium
Lineage: Bacteria
Description: partial 16S ribosomal RNA
Rfam family: Bacterial small subunit ribosomal RNA
Source: RNAcentral